AUACGGAGGAUCCGAGCGUUAUCCGGAUUUAUUGGGUUUAAAGGGAGCGUAGGUGGAUUGUUAAGUCAGUUGUGAAAGUUUGCGGCUCAACCGUAAAAUUGCAGUUGAAACUGGCAGUCUUGAGUACAGUAGAGGUGGGCGGAAUUCGUGGUGUAGCGGUGAAAUGCUUAGAUAUCACGAAGAACUCCGAUUGCGAAGGCAGCUCACUAGACUGUCACUGACACUGAUGCUCGAAAGUGUGGGUAUCAAACAGGAUUAGAUACCCUGGUAGUCCGCACAGUAAACGAUGAAUACUCGCUGUUUGCGAUACACGGUAAGCGGCCAAGCGAAAGCGUUAAGUAUUCCACCUGGGGAGUACGCCGGCAACGGUGAAACUCAAAUGAAUUGACGGGG
This 393-nucleotide ribosomal RNA is filed under the name uncultured bacterium. RNAcentral describes it as "partial 16S ribosomal RNA". It matches the Rfam family "Bacterial small subunit ribosomal RNA", at positions 523 to 918 of the family's 1533-position model. The record is from RNAcentral.